UGAAAUGUGAAGAGAAGGACGGAAGUUU
Molecule: non-coding RNA, 28 nt
Filed under: Rattus norvegicus (Norway rat)
Lineage: Eukaryota; Metazoa; Chordata; Mammalia; Rodentia; Muridae
Source: RNAcentral